This 1420-nucleotide ribosomal RNA is filed under the name uncultured Bordetella sp. RNAcentral's name for it is "partial 16S-23S ribosomal RNA intergenic spacer". It matches the Rfam family "Bacterial small subunit ribosomal RNA". Lineage: Bacteria; Pseudomonadati; Pseudomonadota; Betaproteobacteria; Burkholderiales; Alcaligenaceae. The record is from RNAcentral.
AGUCGAACGGCAGCACGGACUUCGGUCUGGUGGCGAGUGGCGAACGGGUGAGUAAUGUAUCGGAACGUGCCUAGUAGCGGGGGAUAACUACGCGAAAGCGUAGCUAAUACCGCAUACGCCCUUCGGGGGAAAGCGGGGGACCUUCGGGCCUCGCACUAUUAGAGCGGCCGAUAUCGGAUUAGCUAGUUGGUGGGGUAACGGCUCACCAAGGCGACGAUCCGUAGCUGGUUUGAGAGGACGACCAGCCACACUGGGACUGAGACACGGCCCAGACUCCUACGGGAGGCAGCAGUGGGGAAUUUUGGACAAUGGGAAACCCUGAUCCAGCCAUCCCGCGUGUGCGAUGAAGGCCUUCGGGUUGUAAAGCACUUUUGGCAGGAAAGAAACGGCACGGGAUAAUACCCCGUGCAACUGACAGUACCUGCAGAAUAAGCACCGGCUAACUACGUGCCAGCAGCCGCGGUAUUACGUAGGGUGCAAGCGUUAAUCGGAAUUACUGGGCGUAAAGCGUGCGCAGGCGGUUCGGAAAGAAGAUGUGAAAUCCCAGAGCUUAACUUUGGAACUGCAUUUUUAACUACCGAGCUAGAGUGUGUCAGGGAGGUGGAAUUCCGCGUGUAGCAGUGAAAUGCGUAUGCGGAGGAACACCGAUGGCGAAGGCAGCCUCCUGGGAUAACACUGACGCUCAUGCACGAAAAGCGUGGGAGCAAACAGGAUUAGAUACCCUGGUAGUCCACGCCCUAAACGAUGUCAACUAGCUGUUGGGGCCUUCGGGCCUUGGUAGCGCAGCUAACGCGUGAAGUUGACCGCCUGGGGAGUACGGUCGCAAAGAUUAAAACUCAAAGGAAUUGACGGGGACCCGCACAAGCGGUGGAUGAUGUGGAUUAAUUCGAUGCAACGCGAAAAACCUUACCUACCCUUGACAUGUCUGGAAUCCCGAAGAGAUUUGGGAGUGCUCGCAAGAGAACCGGAACACAGGUGCUGCAUGGCUGUCGUCAGCUCGUGUCGUGAGAUGUUGGGUUAAGUCCGCAACGAGCGCAACCCUUGUCAUUAGUUGCUACGAAGGGCACUCUAAUGAGACUGCCGGUGACAAACCGGAGGAAGGUGGGGAUGACGUCAAGUCCUCAUGGCCCUCUGGGUAGGGCUUCACACGCCAUACAAUGGUCGGGACAGAGGGUCGCCAACCCGCGAGGGGAGCCGUCCGACCGGUCGUAGUCCGGAUCGCAGUCUGCAACUCGACUGCGUGAAGUCGGAAUCGCUAGUAAUCGCGGAUCAGCAUGUCGCGGUGAAUACGUUCCCGGGUCUUGUACACACCGCCCGUCACACCAUGGGAGUGGGUUUUACCAGAAGUAGUUAGCCUAACCGUAAGGAGGGCGAUUACCACGGUAGGAUUCAUGACUGGGGUGAAGUCGUAACAAGGUAG